RNAcentral lists this ribosomal RNA (510 nucleotides) under uncultured bacterium. Its description in RNAcentral is "partial 16S ribosomal RNA". It matches the Rfam family "Bacterial small subunit ribosomal RNA", at positions 29 to 523 of the family's 1533-position model. The record is from RNAcentral.
AACGAACGCUGGCGGCGUGCCUAAUACAUGCAAGUCGAGCGAAUGACGAGAAGCUUGCUUCUCUGAUUUAGCGGCGGACGGGUGAGUAACACGUGGGCAACCUGCCCUACAGAUCGGGAUAACUCAGGGAAACCUGGGCUAAUACCGGAUAAUCCUUCGAAUCACAUGUUUUGAAGUUGAAAGGCGCUUCGGCGUCACUGUAGGAUGGGCCCGCGGUGCAUUAGCUAGUUGGUGGGGUAACGGCCUACCAAGGCAAAGAUGCAUAGACGACCUGAGAGGGGGAACGGCCACAUUGGGACUGAGACACGGCCCAAACUCCUACGGGAGGCAGCAGUAGGGAAUCUUCCACAAUGAACGAAAGUCUGAUGGAGCAACGCCGCGUGAGUGAUGAAGGUUUUCGGAUCGUAAAACUCUGUUGUAAGGGAAGAACAAGUACGUUAGGAAAUGAACGUACCUUGACGGUACCUUGCGAGAAAGCCACGGCUAACUACGUGCCAGCCGCCGCCGUAA